UUCACAUUAGGGUCACACAAUCAAUUACCUCCUGAAUGUAUCAUCUCUAUUUUCAAUAUCUGAACACACAAGGAAACUAUAAUCUCCUCCUUCACCUUAUCGGUCUCUUCCUUACAGUAAUUUAGUCAUAUCAAUAAUUGCUAUUUCUACCAAUAUAUUCACCCUCAUAAUCUCCAACUGUAAUACUGUGCCUUCAGAGCUUUCAAUACACAAUUACCUUCAUUCCAAUCGCUGAAAUUCUUCACACAGAACUGCCAUUCAUAUUACGGUGUUUUACACAAACACAGACUCAUUCUCUCUGCUGAACUACAAUCAGAUUUCAGUAUUUAAUCUUUCUUCUUCUCAAAUAAUAUCAAUCACAUUUCCAUUCCAUAAUUCACUUCACAAUAUUCAAAAACUCUCAAUCCUCUUAUUCAAAGAAAAUAACAAACAAAAAAAAAGAGGUAGCACCAAGCUUACCCCGGCUCACACUAUCAUAGCCAUGGCCUUCGGCUCAUGACUAUCACAGUCUGGCAUCUUAAUUAACUUCUACAACUCCUAUAUACUUUCCCCUGAUUCUUCAGAUUCUAAUCGUAAUUCUAUAAUUAACAGCUUUUAAGAACUAAAUCACUCAUCUAUCCUCAUGAAUUUUCUAUUAUAUAGACUAUUAAUAUAAUUUACUAAUAACUUUUAAAAACAAAUUAAUAACUAUUCUACAUAGCCUCAUUCCUAUCCAUGCAGUAUCCUCACAAACACUCAAUUGAUACCUAUUUAAAAAUUAUCUAACAAAAUU
RNAcentral lists this long non-coding RNA (772 nucleotides) under Physcomitrium patens. RNAcentral describes it as "long non-coding RNA (PPAT_LNC013585)". Lineage: Eukaryota; Viridiplantae; Streptophyta; Bryopsida; Funariales; Funariaceae. The record is from RNAcentral.